Long non-coding RNA from Pezoporus flaviventris, 1435 nucleotides. RefSeq lists it as uncharacterized. NCBI's taxonomy places the organism in Eukaryota, Metazoa, Chordata, Aves, Psittaciformes, Psittacidae. The record is from RefSeq and is a predicted model, not a curated record. The transcript has 3 exons.
GACCUUCAGGGUAUAGUGCUCCAUAUGUUUUAGGAGAGGGUUUUUUUUGUGUUGCUUUAGUGAGAAUGUGGGAGAGGGUUUUAGAAAACUUUCUAGCUCAGCUUUCUUGGGUUACUUUUUCCAUGAAAGGUAACAGAUGCUCACUGUGACGUGAACGUUAUUUCCAUGCUUACAGAGAAGAAAUAAGGAUCAGUGUGAUCGAGACUUAAAGGUGCUUUGAGGAACUUCCCAAAUUUACCCACCAUGCGUCACUCAGUUGAAUCAUUCCUCCAGGGUAGGAGGAGGCUUCCUAAUGUGUCGCGAUAUCUGUAAGGGAUACGGAUACCCAUUUCUGCUUGGUCCCCAUACUGUUAUUUCCUAGAAGCUAAAUAUCUGUCUAUGCCCUAUUCUUUGCAUUCUUCCCUACAUACCCACUGCCAGCUACUGUCAGACCCAAAAUACUGCACUGCUUGGACAUUUGGUCUUAUGUAAUAUGGCAUUUAUGUUCUUAUGAAGUUUGGGAGGUUUCCUGUUUUUCAUUAUGGUCUCCACUGAGCAGGCAACAUGCAAAAUGAUCCCAGCAAAUUUGGUGGGUUUGCUGAAUGUCUCUUAAAUGCUUUCUCCUACAUGCAGUCCUGCCUUCAGUGAGGCUGACAGUUGACUGAGCUCUGUACCACCCACCCAAAAGGUCUUUACCUUUCGUAUGUUGCAUGUUCACCAUAAGGCUACUAGUCCCACUAGUGUAAGUAGGGGUUGUGCAAGUGAACCUUGUCAGACCCUGAAAUCCUGAUUGUUUUUAAUGGCCAAAGGAGCUGCUGCAAUAAGAACCUGAUCUUCCAUGUAAGACGGGCCUCAAAAUUUCUUCUGCUAGUUGUUGCUUCUAUCCCAGCCACUUUUAGUUGUGGUUGAGAAGGCAUGUGGAUACCUCCUCAGCAAUGGCCAGAAGGGUUGAUAUGGGCCUUUAUCACAGAAAAGGGUAGUGAAGGGAAGAGGCAUGCAGUGAAGCUGAAGUGAUGCAGCAAUGGCCUUUUGACAGAGAUGUGGUUUUCAGAAUGUCUCCUAUUUCUGGCAGAAGAUGUCAGGGCAAAUGAAUCCUGGAAGCCCUCAAGUGCAAGUCUGGAUAUGUUCUGUCUCCAUUUACCAGCUCUGCUGAAGGAGAAAUGACUGCCAUGCCACUGUCCCAUCACUCAGCAGCUAUCUCGCAAACUCUCCCUUACAUCAGCACUGCAGCUGCCUUGCGUGCUAUCUGUUGACUAUUUUCUUUUCCUCAACCUUUAUGCCCUGAACUGAUCAGUUUUUAGACUUUACAGGGUAAGUGUCAGACAUCCCAUUGAGAACUGAACACUGAUGAAAAAAUGCUGGAAAGCUGAUGGAAAUUGCUAGAAAGCAGCAUUAUUUAUCCACUGGAAAAGAAUACUACAUCCAUUGUCAGAGCAAGCACCACAUCUCCUGGCUC